UAAACAUUAAGAAAUAAGCGAAAGCUUGACUUAGUUAUAGCUAUAUUAGAGCCGGUAAAACUCGUGCCAGCCACCGCGGUUAUACGAGAGGCUCAAAUUGAUGACCAACGGCGUAAAGAGUGAUUAGAGAACAACCAACUAAAGCUGAAAACACCCUAGGCCGUAAUACGCUUUCCGGGGAUAGAAAACCUAAAACGAAAGUAGCUUUAAUAAACUUGAAUUCACGACCCUUGAGAAACAAACCGGGAUUAGAUACCCCGCUAUGCUCAACAGUAAACAAAGAUGGCAACACACAACUACCAUCCGCCAGGAAAUUACGAGCACAUUAUAUUUUUAUGCUUGAAACCCAAGGGACUUGACGGUGCCUUAGACCUACCUAGAGGAGCCUGUCCCACAACCGAUAACCCCCGUUAAACCUAACCACCCCUUGCCACAUCAGUCUAUAUACCGCCGUCGCCAGCUUACCUUGUGAAAGUAGAAUAGUAAGCUAAAUGAGAUUUUUAACCCAGAACGUCAGGUCGAGGUGUAACACACGAGGUGGAGAAAGAUGGGCUACAUUUUCUGAAGCAGAACAACACGAAAGAUGUUAUGAAAAACACA
This 600-nucleotide ribosomal RNA is filed under the name Ariosoma major. RNAcentral describes it as "partial 12S ribosomal RNA". It matches the Rfam family "Bacterial small subunit ribosomal RNA", at positions 358 to 1284 of the family's 1533-position model. The record is from RNAcentral. Lineage: Eukaryota; Metazoa; Chordata; Actinopteri; Anguilliformes; Congridae.